GAGGUGACAGCGCGGACGACACUGCCUGUUGUCCUUGGAGAGGAGUGGACAGCAGGGCUGACACUGCAUGGGGUCCCAGGAGAGGAGGGGACAGCGCGUUCAACACAGCCUGGUAUGCCUGGAGAAGAGGGGACAGCACAGCUUACACUACCCAGUGUCCCAUGACAGGAGGGAAUAACAGAGCAUAUGACACUGCCAUGUCUCCAAACAGGAGGGAACAGCGUGUCUGACACUGCACAUGGUCCCAGGAGAGGCAGAGACCGCACAGUUAACACUGACCAGGGUCCCGGUAGAGGAUGGGACAGCACGGCCAACCCUACCUGGUGUCCUGGAAGAGGAGGGGACAGGGCGACCAACAAUGCCUGGCAUCCCAGGAGAGGAGGGGAGAGUGCAGCUACACUGCCUGGUAUCCCUUGAGAAGAGGGGACAGCGCAGUUUACACUACCCAGUGUCCUGUGACAGAAGCCCGAGGAAAGUCUUGAAGGAAGGGAUCACGAUGACAGGAAGUGGCAGGUGCCUCGCAGGUCACCAUGGUUUGUCACAUCUGCUUCACCGUAGCUGACUGGAAAGCAGGAGUGAGAGAAUGAAGAGGGGCAUCUUCUCAGUGUGGGCUGCUGGAGCACCUGGGCCUCACCUCACUGCUCACCUAGCACCUGCAGUGUGAAUGCCCCACCUGUGUUGGACCCUAGAGCAGGUGGGUACUGUGGCAGCUGUGUUGAGGGAUGGUAUGUGUGUGGGACAGACAGAGACAGAAAGAGACAGAGGACAGAGAGGGAGGUUUCAUGGCCAAUGGAAGGCACUCCUUUCUUUUUCUCUCUGGAAAUCUAAAAAAGGGAUGUUUUAGGAAUUUGGUGUAUCUAAAAAUAGAGAGCUUCUCAACUGAUUAAUGGCCCUUCCCUUCUGCACUUAGAUAGCUUUCUCACUGAUUCCUCAUCUCCUCAGAGUGGGGGCACCUGGUCUAGUCCAGUGACUUUCCUAUGAGAAGCCAAUGGUAAAACUGCCAAGGGAAAAAGAUAAUAUCUGAUAUACAGCAAACAUUCGAUAUAUUUUAUUAUUUUUAAUUAUUAUCAUAAUUAACCAACUCAAUACUUUUUUUCACUCAAUAGUGAAACCACAAGAAUGUUUUAUAUUAAAAUAUCUUUUUUAAAAAAACCUUUAAUAAUAGGUCCUAAUAUAGAAGAAAAAUAAACAAGUAAUCCCUGUGUGACUAACUGGGGUGACUUGGUUGCUUCUUUUCAUCAUGUAACAUGGAGGCUUAUGUGUGACCUGGUGGUUUACAGGUGUCAAGUUCAUUGGAUUCAAGCUUGAAACACUCUGAUCAGAAAAUGCAACCAUUAUAUUACCUGCUUUAUAGGCAGACCACAUGAAUCCCCAUCUCUUUCUUAGCUCCGACCUCACAUACUCAUUGAAUAGCUCAUUUUCUGUGUCUCAGACAUGAAGCUGGAUGCUGAACCACAAGACAUACAUUGUUCAUCCUUCCUCAUGGAGUUUCUAAGUCAAGAUGUACAACAAAGGAAAGGCAGAAAAGCAGGAAAAUAAAAAAAAAAAAUGUGUGUAGCUUCAUAAUGACUCUUUUGGAAAGAAUCUGUAGGGCUGCUUGUGCUUACCUUCAUUAUUUGCUUUCCUGUUGUUUUCCAAAAAGCAACAAAAAAGAUUGACUUCUCUAAAAGUGAAGAAAUGAAGAGCAUUCUGUUAGGGCCAGAGAAGCCUGACCAAAGCUCAAUGUCUGUACCCAGGAUGCCUGACACUCUCUGGCCAGUCAUUAAAUCACUGGCCAGGUCAUGUUUGUGUACUGCAAUCAAGAAAAAGAAUUCCAAAAGCUAUUAAAUUUAUCAUUUUUUAUUUCCCUUUAAAUUUUCUGGAACUUCAUGUCUUAUUACAGCAAUAGAGUUAGUGUUUUCUUAAGAACUUUAUACCAGAAAAGAGGACAGGGAGCCUACGGAUCCCAAGAGAGAGAAGCCAACCCUGAUGGUUCCUACAUGCCAGUCUGACGGCUCCUUUAGACUUCACCACUACUGGCCUCCCUACUGCAUGUGCUGCUAGUAUACACUGACUUUGGAUGCCUUCUCCUUUUGGGUCUGGGACACACCUCUCUUCUCCUCUCUAGCAACUCUUCUGCCCCCACCGUGGGCCCCUCUUGCUUUCUCUGACUGAUUGUCUUCUUCUGCCCUCCUGCCAGGCCUGGUUGACCCCUCAGCCUUCCUCUCUCCUCUAUAUACUUCCUCAUGGCCACAUGGUGUGGUGACUUGGCAAG
This 2254-nucleotide long non-coding RNA is filed under the name Canis lupus familiaris (dog). RNAcentral describes it as "lncRNA (ENSCAFG00030022526.1)". Lineage: Eukaryota; Metazoa; Chordata; Mammalia; Carnivora; Canidae. The record is from RNAcentral.